Molecule: ribosomal RNA, 1190 nt
Filed under: uncultured bacterium
Lineage: Bacteria
Description: bacterial SSU rRNA
Rfam family: Bacterial small subunit ribosomal RNA
Source: RNAcentral
CCCACUGGAAUGAGCCCGGUCCAGUCUCUUCGGAGGCAGCAGUGGGAAUUUGCCCAAUGGCGCAAGCCUGAUGCAGCCAUGCCGCGUUAUGAAGAAGCCUUCGGGUUGUAAAGUCUUUCAGCAGUGAGGAAGGUGGGUAUGUUAAUAGCAUAUUCAUUUGACGUUAGCUGCAGAAGAAGCACCGGCUAAUUCCGUGCCAGCAGCCGCGGUAAUACGGAGGGUGCGAGCGUUAAUCGGAAUUACUGGGCGUAAAGCGCAUGCAGGUGGUUUGUUAAGUCAGAUGUGAAAGCCCGGGGCUCAACCUCGGAAUUGCAUUUGAAACUGGCAAACUAGAGUACUGUAGAGGGGGGUAGAAUUUCAGGUGUAGCGGUGAAAUGCGUAGAGAUCUGAAGGAAUACCGGUGGCGAAGGCGGCCCCCUGGACAGAUACUGACACUCAGAUGCGAAAGCGUGGGGAGCAAACAGGAUUAGAUACCCUGGUAGUCCACGCCGUAAACGAUGUCUACUUGGAGGUUGUGGCCUUGAGCCGUGGCUUUCGGAGCUAACGCGUUAAGUAGACCGCCUGGGGAGUACGGUCGCAAGAUUAAAACUCAAAUGAAUUGACGGGGGCCCGCACAAGCGGUGGAGCAUGUGGUUUAAUUCGAUGCAACGCGAAGAACCUUACCUACUCUUGACAUCUACAGAAGCCAGCGGAGACGCAGGUGUGCCUUCGGGAACUGUAAGACAGGUGCUGCAUGGCUGUCGUCAGCUCGUGUUGUGAAAUGUUGGGUUAAGUCCCGCAACGAGCGCAACCCUUAUCCUUGUUUGCCAGCACUUCGGGUGGGAACUCCAGGGAGACUGCCGGUGAUAAACCGGAGGAAGGUGGGGACGACGUCAAGUCAUCAUGGCCCUUACGAGUAGGGCUACACACGUGCUACAAUGGCGCAUACAGAGGGCGGCCAACUUGCGAAAGUGAGCGAAUCCCAAAAAGUGCGUCGUAGUCCGGAUUGGAGUCUGCAACUCGACUCCAUGAAGUCGGAAUCGCUAGUAAUCGUGGAUCAGAAUGCCACGGUGAAUACGUUCCCGGGCCUUGUACACACCGCCCGUCACACCAUGGGAGUGGGCUGCAAAAGAAGUGGGUAGUUUAACCUUCGGGAGGACGCUCACCACUUUGUGGUUCAUGACUGGGGUGAAGUCGUAACAAGGUAACCG